This 50-nucleotide transfer RNA is filed under the name Teratoscincus scincus (Common wonder gecko). RNAcentral's name for it is "partial tRNA-Asn". Lineage: Eukaryota; Metazoa; Chordata; Lepidosauria; Squamata; Sphaerodactylidae. The record is from RNAcentral.
UGUUUAGUUGUUAAUUAAGUUUUCGCGGGAUCGAGGCCCGUCAAUUUAGU